RNAcentral lists this transfer RNA (72 nucleotides) under Cryptopsaras couesii (triplewart seadevil). Its description in RNAcentral is "tRNA-Val". It matches the Rfam family "tRNA". From Rfam's summary of the family: Transfer RNA (tRNA) molecules are approximately 80 nucleotides in length. The record is from RNAcentral. Lineage: Eukaryota; Metazoa; Chordata; Actinopteri; Lophiiformes; Ceratiidae.
CAGAGUAUAGCCAAGGUAGAAACGCACCUCCCUUACACCGAGGAAACGCCCGUGCAACUCGGGCUGCCCUGA